AGAGUUUGAUCAUGGCUCAGAAUGAACGCUAGCGGCGUGCUUAACACAUGCAAGUCGUACGAGAACUCUUUAGCUUGCUAAAGAUAGUAAAGUGGCGCACGGGUGAGUAACGCGUGGGUAAUCUACCUCUGAAUUUGGGAUAACUCCGCGCAAAGCGGGGCUAAUACCGGAUAAUAUUUCAGGAUUUUCGGGUCUUGAAAUCAAAAGUGGCCUCUACAUGUAAGCUACUGUUUGGAGAUGAGCCCGCGUACCAUUAGCUUGCUGGUAGGGUACAAGGCCUACCAAGGCUACUAUGGUUAUUUGGUCUGAGAGGUAUGAUCACCCACCCUGGAACUGAUACACGGCCCACGACUCCUACGGGAGUGCAGCU
This 370-nucleotide ribosomal RNA is filed under the name uncultured bacterium. RNAcentral's name for it is "bacterial SSU rRNA". It matches the Rfam family "Bacterial small subunit ribosomal RNA", at positions 8 to 353 of the family's 1533-position model. The record is from RNAcentral.